RNAcentral lists this ribosomal RNA (432 nucleotides) under uncultured Rickettsiaceae bacterium. RNAcentral describes it as "bacterial SSU rRNA". It matches the Rfam family "Bacterial small subunit ribosomal RNA", at positions 342 to 791 of the family's 1533-position model. Lineage: Bacteria; Pseudomonadati; Pseudomonadota; Alphaproteobacteria; Rickettsiales; Rickettsiaceae. The record is from RNAcentral.
CGGGGGGCAGCAGUGGGGAAUAUUGGACAAUGGGCGAAAGCCUGAUCCAGCAAUGCCGCGUGAAUGAUGAAGGCCUUAGGGUUGUAAAGUUCUUUUAGUAGGGAAGAUAAUGACGGUACCUACAGAAAAAGCCCCGGCUAACUCCGUGCCAGCAGCCGCGGUAAGACGGAGGGGGCUAGCGUUGUUCGGAAUUACUGGGCGUAAAGAGCGCGUAGGCGGUUUGGUAAGUUGGAAGUGAAAGCCCGAGGCUUAACCUCGGAAUUGCUUUCAAAACUGCCAAUCUAGAGUGUAGUAGGGGAUGAUGGAAUUCCUAGUGUAGAGGUGAAAUUCUUAGAUAUUAGGAGGAACACCGAUGGCGAAGGCAGUCAUCUGGGCUACAACUGACGCUAAUGCGCGAAAGCGUGGGGAGCAAACAGGAUUAGAUACCCCGGU